ACUGACAGCUGUUGCUUCUGUUCUCUGGAACCUCUUCAAGCAAAGGAUCAAACACAAGUCUGAGCUCUGAGCCCAUGGUCCUAGCUUGUCCUUGAAGUAUGAGAUUGGAGACUGGAGUAAGCGUGUUUCUGACCUUGGGGACUGUGAUUGAUGCUAAGAUCACUCAGCCCAGCUCCAUGGAUUGUCCUGAAGGAGAGGAUGUGAGCCUGCCUUGUAACCACUCUACAGUUGGUGGAAAUGACUAUAUACAUUGGUAUCGGCAAAAUCCCAAUCAGAGUCCACAGUAUGUCAUUCAUGGCUUACGAGGCACAGGGAACAGCCUGGCCUCUCUGACCAUAGCUUCAGACAGAAAGUCCAGCACCUUGGUCCUGCCCCAGGUCACCCUGAGAGACAACGCUGUGUACUACUGCAUCCUGAGCGGGGCACAUGGGGACAGACGGGGCUGUACCUGUGCAGUAUCUCUGGUGGGAAGAAGGGGGGACACAGUGGGGGAGCAGUCACGAGAGCAAAUCUAGAGUCAUCUGGAAGGAGAGUCAGAGAGCAGUAAGAGAUGAGCAAAAUGAUGGGAAGGAAACAGGGAGAAGAUGCAUAAAGAAAAGGACAAGGAAGAAGUGCUUCAUUGAUUGAUGUGGCUGAGACGAAUUAUGGGUAUACUAAGAAUCCUAAUUGCAACAUAGAAAUAAAGUGAGAAGCAUUAGCAAUUUUUCACGGUUCUUUCUCAUGUCAAUAAAACGUUAGUUCCAGUGUGUUAGUCUUAACCUAAACAUGAGAAAAAUACAAAUAAUUAUUGUUCCAAAGACUUCUUUCAUGUCCGACUCUUUGCCAACUCAA
This is a non-coding RNA of Dama dama (fallow deer), 831 nucleotides long. NCBI's taxonomy places the organism in Eukaryota, Metazoa, Chordata, Mammalia, Artiodactyla, Cervidae. The record is from the annotation of a RefSeq genome assembly.